RNAcentral lists this ribosomal RNA (2915 nucleotides) under Methanimicrococcus blatticola. RNAcentral's name for it is "23S ribosomal RNA". It matches the Rfam family "Archaeal large subunit ribosomal RNA". Lineage: Archaea; Methanobacteriati; Methanobacteriota; Methanomicrobia; Methanosarcinales; Methanosarcinaceae. The record is from RNAcentral.
GUGUUACGCCAACAGGUGGAUGGCUCGGCUCAAGAGCUGAUGAAGGACGUGCCAAGCUGCGAUAAGCUCAGGGUAGACGCAAGGAAUCUAUGAACCUGAGAUCUCCUAAUGGGAAUCCCGUUGCCCGUGAGGGUAACGAUCAGUCAUGAUCGGUAACGCCCCGAAUUGAAACAUCUUAGUAGGGGCAGGAAAAGAAAUCAAUAAGAGAUGCCGUUAGUAAAGGCGAUUGAAACCGGCAGAGUUCAAACUGAAUCCGCAGUAGGAAUAUUGCGGAGAUGUGGUUUAUGGCUGACUCUAUUUUCCUAUCUCACCCAAUCAAACUUGCCUGAAACGGCAGACCAUAGAGUGUGAUAGUCACGUCGAUAAAAGUGAACGGAAAAUUGUCAUGUCCUGAGUAGUGUGGGUCGGAAAUCUCGCACGAAUAUGGGGGUCACCAAUCUCCAAAACUAAAUACUCCUUGAGUCCGAUAGCGAAUUAGUAGGGUGACCGAACGCUGAAAAGUACCCCGAGAAGGGAGGUAAAAAGUGCCUGAAACCUGUUGGUUAUAGAACGAUGGAGCGUGCAAGGAUCUUUCUUAUGAAGGAAAAAACCGCGAGGUUUGUGUACGAAUAAGAUUGCCGAUGUUCCAUCUUAAGUUUUGAAGAACUGGCCAGGGAGUUUAUUUUGAUGGCGAAGGCUAACUAUUCUCAUAGGCAGCCAAAGCGAAAGCAACAUGUGCGCAACCUUCGGGUGAGGCACGGCGUAUACAAGUGCGCGGAGUCAUCGGAAUAAGACCCGAAGCCGGGCGAUCUAGGCGUGGGCAGGUUGAAGCGUGGCGAAAGCUGCGUGGAGGACCGCAAGUGGUAUUGAUCUGCAAAUCAUUCACGUGACCCACGUCUCGGAGUGAAAUGCUAAUCUAGCCCGGCAUCCGCUGGUUCCCUCCGAAACAUGUCGUAGCAUGACCUGACCCGAGGUCGUUGGUGGAGUAGAGCACUGAUUGGGGAAUCCGGGGAAGAAAUUCUUCGCUCUUCUGUCAAACUCCAAACCCACCCACACCGUAGACGGUCGGAGUCCGCACUGCUGGGGUAAGCUUGUAGUGCGUAAGGGAGACAACCCUGCCCGUGGUUAAGGUCCCCAAGUGUCGGCUAAGUGUAAACACUAAAGGGCGUCCCAAGCCCAAAACAGCUGGAAGGUUAGCUUAGAAGCAGCUAUCCUUUAAAGAGUUCGUAACAGACCACCAGUCGAGGUUUGGGGCCCCGAAAAUUGACGGGGCUCAAGCCGACCACCGAUACCACGGAGUACCGUAUAGGUAAUCUCGUAGGAGGGCGUUGCGUUCGGGCAGAAGCAGGGCUGUGAAGUCCUGUGGACCGUUCGCAAACGAAAAUCCUGGUAAUAGUAGCAGCAUAGUCAAGUGAAAAUCUUGACCGCCGAAGGGGCCAGGUUUCCUCGGCAAUGAUCAUCAGCCGAGGGUUAGUCGGUCCUAAGAUGUACCGUAACUCGAGUACAUCGAAUCAGGGAAACAGGUUAAUAUUCCUGUACCGUUCGACAAUAAUCCUGACGCUUCAGGGCAGACCGAGCGGCGUCGUCGCGCCGUUUAAGCGCCGAAGUUUGUGGAGAGCCGUAAUGGCGAGAAGCGAAUGAAUGCGUUAUGACGAAAGUCGGUUGCACCCCGGAGCCCGUGAAAAGGGGUCGAAACGUCCGUACCAAGAUCUGACACAGGUGCCCCUAGCUGAAAAGGCUAAGGCGUGACGGAGUAAUUCAGUUUAGGGAAUUCGGCAAAUUAGCUCCGUAACUUCGGGAGAAGGAGUGCCUGCUGUGAAGACAGCAGGUCGCAGUGACCAGGGGGCUCCAACUGUCUAAUACCAACAUAGGAGAUCGCAAAUCCGUAAGGAUGAGUACGAUCUCUGAAUCCUGCUCAGUGCAGGUACCUCAAACCCCGGUUCAACGGGACGAAGGGCCUGUAAACAGCGGGGGUAACUAUGACCCUCUUAAGGUAGCGUAGUACCUUGUCGCUUAAUUGGCGACUUGCAUGAAUGGAUCAAUGAGAGCCCUACUGUCCCAAACUGGAAUCCGGUGAAGCUUACAUUCUAGUGCACAGUCUAGAGACCUCUGGGGGGAAGUGAAGACCCCAUAGAGCUUUACUGCAGCCUGUCGUUGAGUUGUGAUUUCGAAUGUACAGUGUAGGUAGGAGACGUCGAAGCGGGCGCGCCAGCGUUCGUGGAGUCAAAAGUGGGACACUACCCUUUUGGAAUUACGAUUCUCACUCUCUUUUGAGAGGACCCCGAUAGGUGGGCAGUUUGCCUGGGGCGGGACGCCCUUGAAAAGAUAUCAAGGGUGCGCAAUGGUUGACUCAAGUGGGUCGGAAACUCACUGAAGAGUGCAAGAGCAUAAGUCAGCCUGACGUUAUUUCGCACAACAAGGAAUGACGAGACGAAAGUCGGUUCUAGCGAACUUUUGAGCCCGCUUGGUGCGGGCCAAAAACUACAGAAAAGUUACCUUGGGGAUAAUUGUGUCGUUGCCGGCAAGAGUACAUAUCGACCCGGCAGCUUGCUACUUCGAUGUCGGUUCUUUCCAUCCUGGCCGUGCAGCAGCGGCCAAGGGUGAGGUUGUUCGCCUAUUAAAGGAGAUCGUGAGCUGGGUUUAGACCGUCGUGAGACAGGUUGGUUACUAUCUACCAGAGGUGUUUGAUGUCUGAGGGUAAGUUGCUUUUAGUACGAGAGGAACAAAGCAACGGUGCCACUGGUCUACCUGUUGUCUGACAAGGCAUCGCAGGGCAGCUACGCACCAAGGAAUAAGAGCUGAAUGCAUCUAAGCUCGAAAUCUCACCUAAAUAAGAGACAUCGUUAAGGACACUCGUAAAAGACGAGGUUGAUCGAAACGGGAUGUACGCACCAAGGCAACGAGGUGUUUAGUCCGCGUUCACGAAUAGUCCGUAC